UAUUAGCCCAGACGCUUGUAUCACGAAAAGUGUCUCUGUUGAAAUCCGAACAAAGUCACUUCUAUCUCCAGUUAUAGCGAUUCUUAGUUUUACACUAAAACGGUAAUUUUACCGGUAAUACCGGUUCAUCGACAUCA
Long non-coding RNA from Bradysia coprophila, 137 nucleotides. Lineage: Eukaryota; Metazoa; Arthropoda; Insecta; Diptera; Sciaridae. The record is from RefSeq and is a predicted model, not a curated record.